This 440-nucleotide ribosomal RNA is filed under the name uncultured bacterium. Its description in RNAcentral is "bacterial SSU rRNA". It matches the Rfam family "Bacterial small subunit ribosomal RNA", at positions 338 to 793 of the family's 1533-position model. The record is from RNAcentral.
CCUACGGGUGGCAGCAGUGGGGAAUAUUGCGCAAUGGGCGAAAGCCUGACGCAGCCACGCCGCGUGUGUGAUGAAGGCCUUCGGGUCGUAAAGCACUGUCGGGAGGGAAGAAUCCAUGACGGUACCUCCCAAGAAAGCGCCGGCUAACCCCGUGCCAGCAGCCGCGGUAAUACGGGGGGCGCAAGCGUUGCUCGGAAUCACUGGGCGUAAAGCGUACGCAGGCGGCGCGUUAAGUCGGGUGUGAAAGCCCGGGGCUCAACCCCGGAAUUGCAUUCGAUACUGGCGUGCUUGAGUACGGAAGAGGGAAGCGGAAUUCCUGGUGUAGAGGUGAAAUUCGUAGAUAUCAGGAGGAACAUCAGUGGCGAAAGCGGCUUCCUGGUCCGAUACUGACGCUCAUGUACGAAAGCGUGGGGAGCAAACAGGAUUAGAUACCCUGGUAG